CAAUAGCGUAUAUUAAAGUUGUUGCAGUUAAAAAGCUCGUAGUUGAAUUUUUGCUUGCCGCCGAUGUCGGAACUUACGUACGUUCGGCGGCGUGCAUCCUUGGGUGGAACCUGUGUGGCAUUAGGUUGUCGUGCAGGGGAUGCUCAUCGUUUACUGUGAAAAAAUUAGAGUGUUCAAAGCAGGCUUACGCCGUUGAAUAUAUUAGCAUGGAAUAAUAAGAUAGGACCUUGGUACUAUUUUGUUGGUUUGCGCACCGAGGUAAUGAUUAACAGGGACAGUUGGGGGUAUUCGUAUUCCAUUGUCAGAGGUGAAAUUCUUGGAUUUCUGGAAGACGAACUACUGCGAAAGCAUUUACCAAGGAUGUUUUCAUUAA
This 373-nucleotide ribosomal RNA is filed under the name uncultured eukaryote. RNAcentral's name for it is "partial 18S ribosomal RNA". It matches the Rfam family "Eukaryotic small subunit ribosomal RNA", at positions 592 to 976 of the family's 1831-position model. The record is from RNAcentral.